GACGAACGCUGGCGGCGUGCUUAACACAUGCAAGUCGAACGGUGAAGGGACCAGCUUGCUGGUUCUGGAUGAGUGGCGCACGGGUGAGUAACACGUGAGUAACCUGCCCCCUUCUUCUGGAUAACCGCAUGAAAGUGUGGCUAAUACGGGAUAUUCUGGGUCUGUCGCAUGGCGGGCCCGGGAAAGAUAUUGCUUCGGUGGGGGAUGGGCUCGCGGCCUAUCAGCUUGUUGGUGGGGUGAUGGCCUACCAAGGCGGUGACGGGUAGCCGGCCUGAGAGGGUGGACGGUCACACUGGGACUGAGACACGGCCCAGACUCCUACGGGAGGCAGCAGUGGGGAAUAUUGCACAAUGGGCGCAAGCCUGAUGCAGCGACGCCGCGUGAGGGAUGGAGGCCUUCGGGUUGUAAACCUCUUUCGCCAGUGAAGCAGGCCUGCUCCUUGUGGGUGGGUUGACGGUAGCUGGAUAAGAAGCGCCGGCUAACUACGUG
Molecule: ribosomal RNA, 489 nt
Filed under: uncultured bacterium
Lineage: Bacteria
Description: partial 16S ribosomal RNA
Rfam family: Bacterial small subunit ribosomal RNA
Source: RNAcentral